RNAcentral lists this long non-coding RNA (1382 nucleotides) under Gossypium barbadense (sea-island cotton). Its description in RNAcentral is "long non-coding RNA (GBAR_LNC011376)". Lineage: Eukaryota; Viridiplantae; Streptophyta; Magnoliopsida; Malvales; Malvaceae. The record is from RNAcentral.
AAUAGUUGAAAAGUCAAAAUUAGACAAAAUAGUUUUAUUAUUAACAAAUAAAAAAAAAAGAAAAAGAAAAAGCUAUCAUUUUUCUCUUCCCCUUCACCGAAAUAUGCAGCAAAGAAAGGGUUUUGAAGCUGGAAAAUUUCAGCAACAUAUUUCCCUUGCUUGUAAGUGAUUUUAAUGUCUUUUCUUGAUGAUUUUUGUAGUUUUGGAACCCCUAAAGCAUAAGCUUUCAUAAGAGGGGAUUAUUUUGCAAAAUGAUGAAGAGUCUAGGGUUUUACCGUGAGAGUAAAUGUGUUGUUUGCUGUGUUUUUAUGGAAGAUUAUGAGUCCUAGUUGUCUAAUAAACAACUUUUGUGAAAGAAAUUGCAUGAAAAUCCUUAAAAAGGGCUAAAUUGCUAAGUUGUAAAAUGAGUUGUAAAUGUGUAAAAUAGUUGAAAUUAUGAGUUGCUAUAGUUAUGAAAAUGGUUCAUCUAGACUCAAGGAGAAAAAAAAUGUGAUAAAAAUUAAUUUACGAGCAUUGGGGCAAAAGUGAAAAUAUGUAAAAGUUUAGGGGUCAAAUUUUUUUUAUAAAAACAUGAUUUUUAGACCCAUAUGAAUAUUGUGACUGAUUGGUAGGCUAAAUGUGAUGUUAUAGAUGAUGAAAAUUGAGACUUGGACCUAGAACGGAAAGAAAUCGAUUUAUGGACGAGUAUGUCCUUUUCACCUUUGUGGUAUCGAGGUAAAUUCGUAUGUAAACAAUACCAUGCUAUACAUGUAUUUAAAUGUUAUCAGUACAUGAAUUGUACAGAUAUUAAUGUGUAUGUGAUUAAUAGAAAUAUGAUAAGACAAAGCCUUAAUAGACGAGGAAAAAUCCCGUUUGAACCUUAGGAAUAGAAUAGGAUACGAGUGACAUGUCACUAGGAAUUAUGAGUCUAGAUGACUAGCUCGAGAGUGAGCAUUGAAAUGUCAUGAGAUAUGAGGUAGCUUUAGCUACAAUUGAGGCACUUAUGUGCAAAGGCUUUUCCGAGUAUCCAAUUAGUAUUCCAAGUGUUCAACGGGCAAUCCAAGGAAAGAGUUGAUGAUGGUCCCAAUGAGGUAAGUCAUUGGUGAGUAUGCACUCGAGUUAUGUUACGAGUUGUGCAAGUAUGUAUACUAAUCCUAUGAGAAUGCCUUGAUAUGUGAUGAUCUAUGAUGCAUAAUAUGUGUUCUUACCAUGAUGGAUAAAAUGGUGUUGUAUUAAUAUUAUGAACAAUGACCAUGAAUGAGUAACUUAGCCUUGACAGAUUUGAGUUACUGCAAUAGUGUAACUUUGAAAGUACACUAAAAAUAGUGGAAAAUGAGUUAGAGGCAGAAUAAAAUAUGGGAUUAAAGCUUAAUGAGUCUAUUUUCACAUGAAAAAAAUAGAGG